AAUAGAUACCCUGGUAGUCCACGCCGUAAACGAUGAGUGCUAAGUGUUAGAGGGUUUCCGCCCUUUAGUGCUGCAGCUAACGCAUUAAGCACUCCGCCUGGGGAGUACGGUCGCAAGACUGAAACUCAAAGGAAUUGACGGGGGCCCGCACAAGCGGUGGAGCAUGUGGUUUAAUUCGAAGCAACGCGAAGAACCUUACCAGGUCUUGACAUCCUCUGACAACUCUAGAGAUAGAGCGUUCCCCUUCAGGGGACAGAGUGACAGGUGGUGCAUGGUUGUCGUCAGCUCGUGUCGUGAGAUGUUGGGUUAAGUCCCGCAACGAGCGCAACCCUUGAUCUUAGUUGCCAGCAUUCAGUUGGGCACUCUAAGGUGACUGCCGGUGACAAACCGGAGGAAGGUGGGGAUGACGUCAAUCAUCAUGCCCUUAUGACCUGGGCUACACACGUGCUACAAUGGAUGGUACAAAGGGCUGCAAGACCGCGAGGUCAAAGCCCAAAUCCCCGAUAAAAACCGNUUCUCAGUUCGGAAUUUC
This 532-nucleotide ribosomal RNA is filed under the name uncultured bacterium. RNAcentral's name for it is "bacterial SSU rRNA". It matches the Rfam family "Bacterial small subunit ribosomal RNA", at positions 777 to 1302 of the family's 1533-position model. The record is from RNAcentral.